Molecule: long non-coding RNA, 1175 nt
Organism: Oreochromis niloticus (Nile tilapia)
Lineage: Eukaryota; Metazoa; Chordata; Actinopteri; Cichliformes; Cichlidae
Exons: 2
Source: RefSeq, a predicted model, not a curated record
UAUGUAAUUAAUUAUUUCUGAUUUUAAUUAAUUAUUGAGACAUUUAAUUAAUUAUUUAAUGGUGUAUUUAAUUAAUUCAUUUUGGCACAGUUGACUCCUUCAGGUCUCACUUAUGGCAGUCCUGGCGUUCCAUAUGUACCAAGAAAACUACUUCUAAAAAAGGUUAUUUAAUUUUAUUUAUUAUUUUUUAUCAGGUUUUAUCCUGAUAUUGUGUGUUUUAGUGUUGCACAAUAUUCUUUUAAUCCACUGUGGACUAAGCGCACAAUAGUAGCACCUGUUCGAGGUGGGGGCGUUCCCCGAGGCGGCCUAUCAGCCGCCAGGCUGACCUGUUAAAGGGGAUGGUGAGCGCAGAGAUGGGAAGGCGACGCACGAAAGGCGAGCACGAGGAAAAGAAAUGCGCGCAAGCCAGCAUAGUGGGAGGCGAUGCAAUCCACAGCAGGGCAGGGGUGUCCCUCUGCCUGCAUCUGGCGAUGCUACUGUAGCCCGGGUUCUUUUAUUGUAAAAGGAGAGAGAGAGGAAAAGAAACGAAGGAGAAGGCAGCAGCCACGAGAGAUCGGAGGAGAAAAAAGUGUGCGCGAGAUGCGACUAGCGUCUGCAGAGACUUUUACCACGGGACGGCGAGGAUAAAUCAUCCCACGUCGACGGCUGAGUGACGGUGUGUGAAUGUGAGGUGGUGCGGCCCGGACUGGUUUGCACUGUUGCCUCGGAAUCACCUAGUUAGCGGCGUGCUAACUUGGCUAACCGGAGUUAGCCCUCAAGGCGGACUUCGCUAACGAUCACCGGACCUGUACAGAGCGAGAGGCCACUAACUGCAGAGGCGGACCGAUCAGGUUUGCUGCUUGGAAAGAGUAAGUGUGCAGCUGCAUGGACUAAGGGACGGACCUGUCGGCUUGCUGUGAGUUUGUGGAAAGAGACUAAGAGUUCCAGGUAGGAGCACCAUUUUGUUUUCUUUUAGGACCGUUGGUUCCUACGCACCCUAGCAUCGAUCCAGGCCUGCACCGAGGGGACUUGGGAAACUGGGUGGUGUGAGAGAGUGUGUGUGUGUGGCCCAUUACAGUACAGAACUGUGUAACUGUUAUUAUUGUUAUAUUUUAUCAUUGCAAGAGACUUCUUACUUUAUUGAUUUAUUGGGUGUUUACCAGUUCAUUCAGUAAACCUGCUUGGUUUAAACAGAA